This 586-nucleotide ribosomal RNA is filed under the name Streptococcus mutans. RNAcentral's name for it is "bacterial SSU rRNA". It matches the Rfam family "Bacterial small subunit ribosomal RNA", at positions 378 to 955 of the family's 1533-position model. The record is from RNAcentral. Lineage: Bacteria; Bacillati; Bacillota; Bacilli; Lactobacillales; Streptococcaceae.
AAAGUCUGACCGAGCAACGCCGCGUGAGUGAAGAAGGUUUUCGGAUCGUAAAGCUCUGUUGUAAGUCAAGAACGUGUGUGAGAGUGGAAAGUUCACACAGUGACGGUAGCUUACCAGAAAGGGACGGCUAACUACGUGCCAGCAGCCGCGGUAAUACGUAGGUCCCGAGCGUUGUCCGGAUUUAUUGGGCGUAAAGGGAGCGCAGGCGGUCAGGAAAGUCUGGAGUAAAAGGCUAUGGCUCAACCAUAGUGUGCUCUGGAAACUGUCUGACUUGAGUGCAGAAGGGGAGAGUGGAAUUCCAUGUGUAGCGGUGAAAUGCGUAGAUAUAUGGAGGAACACCAGUGGCGAAAGCGGCUCUCUGGUCUGUCACUGACGCUGAGGCUCGAAAGCGUGGGUAGCGAACAGGAUUAGAUACCCUGGUAGUCCACGCCGUAAACGAUGAGUGCUAGGUGUUAGGCCCUUUCCGGGGCUUAGUGCCGGAGCUAACGCAAUAAGCACUCCGCCCGGGGAGUACGACCGCAAGGUUGAAACUCAAAGGAAUUGACGGGGGCCCGCACAAGCGGUGGAGCAUGUGGUUUAAUUCGAA